Molecule: ribosomal RNA, 496 nt
Filed under: uncultured bacterium
Lineage: Bacteria
Description: partial 16S ribosomal RNA
Rfam family: Bacterial small subunit ribosomal RNA
Source: RNAcentral
GAUGAACGCUGGCGGCGUGCCUAGUACAUGCAAGUCGAGCGAACAGAUGAGGAGCUUGCUCCUCUGACGUUAGCGGCGGACGGGUGAGUAACACGUGGAUAACCUACCUAUAAGACUGGGAUAACUUCGGGAAACCGGAGCUAAUACCGGAUAAUAUAUUGAACCGCAUGGUUCAAUAGUGAAAGACGGUUUUGCUGUCACUUAUAGAUGGAUCCGCGCCGCAUUAGCUAGUUGGUAAGGUAACGGCUUACCAAGGCAACGAUGCGUAGCCGACCUGAGAGGGUGAUCGGCCACACUGGAACUGAGACACGGUCCAGACUCCUACGGGAGGCAGCAGUAGGGAAUCUUCCGAAAUGGGCGAAAGCCUGACGGAGCAACGCCGCGUGAGUGAUGAAGGUCUUCGGAUCGUAAAACUCUGUUAUUAGGGAAGAACAAAUGUGUAAGUAACUAUGCACGUCUUGACGGUACCUAAUCAGAAAGCCACGGCUAACUACGU